Molecule: ribosomal RNA, 253 nt
Filed under: uncultured bacterium
Lineage: Bacteria
Description: partial 16S ribosomal RNA
Rfam family: Bacterial small subunit ribosomal RNA
Source: RNAcentral
UACGGAGGGGGCUAGCGUUGUUCGGAAUUACUGGGCGUAAAGCGCGCGUAGGCGGCUUUGUAAGUCAGAGGUGAAAGCCUGGAGCUCAACUCCAGAACUGCCUUUGAAACUACAUCGCUAGAAUCAUGGAGAGGUUAGUGGAAUUCCGAGUGUAGAGGUGAAAUUCGUAGAUAUUCGGAAGAACACCAGUGGCGAAGGCGACUAACUGGACAUGUAUUGACGCUGAGGCGCGAUAGCGUGGGGAGCAAACGGG